ACAUUGGUUUGCCUUGACCGGCAGGGAAGUAUUUUGAAAGUAGGGAGGGGAUUCUCUGAGGGACAGUUGGGUAGGUGGGCAUAACACAGGGGAAAACCAACUGGAAUAACUUUGGGGACACUGGAACAUACCAUAAAAUGACAGAACAUGCAACUCAAUAAAGUUACACACUACAACAGCUGUAAAGCACCUGUGUCAUACAAAUAGCAAAGAUACGCUGGAAUUGCAACAGUUUGAGGAUUUAUUAAUUAGUUCAACACUUCAAGUUUUUCAUUGUGUUACUUUGUUUUCUUUGUGCCUUUGAAAGCUACCAUGUAGUUGCUGGUAGAGGGUGGCUGGUGUGGGCAAUUGGUCACAACUACAUGAUCAAUCUUUGCCAUUUGGUGUAUAGGGCCAAAGUAGCACUCAUGAUGUGUUUUGUGAGGGUAGGCAGUUGCCAUUCAGUUGUCCUUCAGUUCAGUUCUCCUUUCGUUUAAUUUGGUUUGUGAAUUCAUGUGUUUUAUGCUGUGACUUUGCAUUUGAUCUCUUCAGACUUGGAUAAGUGAAAUAAUUUUCUAACUUACUGUAAAUUUUAUAAAUAUUAUACCAGAGUGUUCAUACACAAUUAGAUUUCUGGGAAAAAGAGGAAAGUGGUGAUGUCCUUAGAGGGACGCUGUCACAUUUGACUUUUCCAUCUCUCCCUGGCUUCUCUCUUGCUCGAUUCUCCUUACUCUCUGCUGUGGGAGGAAUCCUCUGCGUGACCCUGCUGGCUGGGUUUGUUUAGCUGCAGUUUAGGGAAGGCACUGAGCAAGAGAGGAGAAAAAAAAAGGCUUCAAUUUUUAAUUCUGGAAAAGAGAAAAAGGUAUUUAAAUAAGACCUGGAGGACUUCUUAUUUGCCAGAAGUGACAAGUUUAUAUCCUUCUGUAACUCAGCCUAAUUGAAAUGAUCUCUUUAUUCUAAAGUCAGCAGAAAAAUCUUGGCCUCUUAAUGAUGAAAGGCUUUUUUAAAAAACAUUCUUCUAAGCAUAAAUAGCUGAAGUUUCCACUUUAAACUUGUGUGGCUUAUUCAUAUUUCACUCAAUGGUAAUAUGGUAUCCUCUCUCUCUCUCUUCCCCUCCUUACCACCAAGACUGAAAAGAUGAUGGGGGUGGUGUAUAAAUGUUUCUGAAAAUUACAGGAAAUGUCUUUUCCUUAAACGGCUUUGCCAGGGAAUUUCCAAAUGUGUUUAAUGCUUAUGGCUGAAGUUGCAGCAGUUCAGUCUUCAAUCAUGAGUGGAUCCUGUUCUAAAAUGUGACACCUCCGUCCAGUAAACUACGUUGAAAUUAAGUAUAUGCUUUGUUUCUCAUCCGCUCUUCAGCAGAAUUAAUCAUUCCCUGUGGUGAAAUAAGGGCUCUUGGGGGCUGCUUUAAACACUAGAUUUACAUGUAUUUAUUAAAGUGGGGAAAACAGAAUAUCGUGUCCUGAGGUGAGACCUGGUUUAAGGAAGUCAUGAAGGAGUCAUGGCAUGGCAUGGAUGGCACAGAGAGGCAGGUACUGGUGAGUGUGAAGGCUACCUGACAGCUUUCAGGGAGACUUCAGGAGCUGCAUGUGAAGCACGAAGGAACAAAAGGGGAGAUGCUUUUUGUCUCAGGACUUUGUUUCCUUGGGCUGUCACAAGGUGGUCUCAGAUCAUAGGGCCCUGUCUCCAGGCAGAGCCUCAUCAGUGCUGAGCAUUAGUUUAGUGUUAAUUUCUGGGAUGAGAUCAGAAAAAGGGAUAGCAAUAAGUACGAUGAGUAGAAUGGGUUUUCUCUCUGUUCUGUGUUGCCUUCUGCCAGGCUUUUGCCACUGGAUUAUGGAAAGGAGCAAGGGAGGUCUGCAGAGCCUCUUCCUGAGGCUCAGAAAGGAAUGAGAAUCUAGAGCAGGCAGAGGGCAAAAAAGGACCUAGCCCAAUUUCAACAUAUCUUCUCAUCCAGCUCUCUUCCCUGCUGCUCUCACAUACAUAUGCCUACAUACUAAUGAUGGAAGAGAGAGGAUCUCCAACAUGGGUCCUUCCAGGGAAAAAUACAGGGUCCCAGUCAAGAGAUGAACAUAGUGAGCAAAGCCCGUUCUGGGCUCUAACCUCAGUAUUUUCUGAAGGCUUCUCACCCCAUGUUCUACAGCUGCCAUUUCCUAAAGACAGAGAGAUGAUUGAUCCAUGUAGUUCUUUUCCUUGUGGGAUGCUGUGGGUUUUCAGACUGUUCACCAUACAUGUCCAGCCCUUUCCUGGGGUGGCUCUUCUCAAUUGUCGUAUCCUUUACUCGGUGCUUCAAGAGCCACUCCUGGAUCUCACAACAAGGCACUUCUUGGCAAUAAUUUAUUGUCAUGGUUUAUGUCACAGUGAUUAAAGGAAGCUGUCAUCUCUUGGCAGCCAUGAUUUGAAUCUUGGGUUUAGCUGCCCAGGAAACAGUUUGGAACUGACGCUGAUAUGUUUAUCUUAGCUUCCUUGUGUAAAAGCUGUAAUUUAAUUUGCGCCUGAUGGAACAGCAGGUGCUUCGGGUAGAAGUUGUAUGGGUAUGACUGUGUGUAAUGAUUGGUGAUGCUAGUGUUACCAGUUUCCAGUGCUGACUUUUUUAGAGUGUGGGGAAGUGGGCUUAAUUACACAAAUGUCCUGUUUCAUUGGUCUCUGUCCAUGCAAAAUACAUAUGUAUUCACACUUCCUUGUGGCAAUCUUUCACAUUAAUAGGCACCGAUCAAGAGAUUGUGAAUUUGUUUAAUUCCAUGCAAAUGCCUCACCUUUAAUGCUGAGCUGUACAUUGGUUUUCUAGCAGUGAGAUGUGUCAGAGUUUGGAAGGCUAUCUGGUUGGUUUUUGUUUGUUGGGGUUUUAUAAGCAUCUCCAACUUUUUUUUUUUAAUUGCAAUUUAAAGAUAGUAGAGGGGUUUGCUGUGGUGGGGUUUUUUUUUCUCUUUUCUUUUAGAAAAUCAGUCUAGAGUAACUUUCUAUUUUGGACUCAUUCCAUAUAAAUGAAUGCCAGCAUUCAUAAAUAACUUCUCACCUAAGUUUUAAUGUGUUUGGGGGAGUUGUACAGCAAAUGACUGUACUGAAAGUGUAAAAUCCAUUUCCUGAUUUGGGUUGGGGGGUGUUUGUCUGGGGUUUUUUUGUGUUUUUUAAACUUGUUAUUAUUUUUCUGUAUUUAGGUAAUUCCUUCUGCUGGCCUUUGUAUGUGGACCACCUUCUGUCCCGUUCAGGCCACAUAAAUUGUGACUUAAAUGUAGGUGAGCAACAGCUUUUGACAUGAAACAAUAAUGAAUUAAUAAAAAAAAAAUCAUACUCCAAAAUUUUCCGUUGCUUUGACUUGGAGGUCAUAGAAGGAGAACCAUUUUUUUAAAAAUCCAUUGACAUUUUUCCUGGUUGUCUAGUGUCCUGGGCAAUAGGAACCUAAAAAUAUAAUGUAUUAUAGUAUAUGUUUGAAGUGGAUUAAAUAAUCUCUCAUUCUGGUUGUCACAGACCUAUAUGCUGUGAACCUGCAGUGAAAAAGUAUUUUGAAAUGGAAAGAGCUUCUCACUCGAUUGGGUGGAGAAGAGAGUCCCCAGAUUAGGUCUGAGUGUCUUUUGAAUAGAGUGAUGUAACAUAUCAACAGCAUGUUCUAAUGCUUCCCAGGAGGCCACGUUCUGCCAGUCAGGUUUCCCUGCACUCACACUUAAUAAAUGUUUAUUGUUUCACUGGGAAUGUCAAAGAGAUUGGGUCCUUUGUCAAAGCAAGUCAUGAUAACCUGGCUUAUUGUUUCAAGAUGAUGAUGGUGCAUGGAUGAUAUUUGCUAGUACAUUGCAGAUGUUUGUGAGCUAUGCUGAGUAGGUCACCAAACGCGGUGGUUUGGUGUGCUUUUUGGUUUUAUUUUGAAAUAAUACAGUAUAUUAUUUCAAAUAUGAUUAUUUGUGUGACAGAAAAUACGUGUUAUCUAAGUGGAAGGCCCAUUCCUCUUGCUUAGCCCAGCUGUCUCAGAGUGCCAGUGGUAAAAUAUUGCUGAGCAGUAGCACUCUAGAAAUAGAGUGAACUUAAAGAUCUUAAGUGGAUGUCUUUUAUGCAGUGUAUUCAUGGGAGGUUGAUAUCCUUUCUGACUCUCUCUGUGUCUGUUUUCACAUUGGUGAGCACAAAGAGGUGGGGAGAGGAGACUUUUCUUUAGAACUAGUAAUCAAAGUUGAAUGAUUAGUUUUCCAGGAUGAAGGACAAGCGUACUGAACAGAAAAUCCACCUUAAUCUAUGUUUUUUCCAAUGCAUUGCACUUGCCUUUCUCAUGGUUGUAGAGUGUGUAAUCUAAAAUGCAUGUGGCUGGUGUUUCUACAAAGAAAAGAAAAUUAACACUAUGCAUUUUGACUGCAUAUAUAGGAUAAAAGAACAGGUAUGUUAAAAGUAGAAGAGGGGAGCACCCAUAGAUAAGCAAGGGAAAACAGGAUGAAAUUUUUUAAACUGCUUAUUUUUUAUGAGCAUGGUACAUGAGUGACACUAAAAAAAAAAAAAAAAAAAAAAAAAAAAAAG
Taeniopygia guttata (zebra finch) is the source of this 4470-nucleotide long non-coding RNA. NCBI's taxonomy places the organism in Eukaryota, Metazoa, Chordata, Aves, Passeriformes, Estrildidae. The record is from Ensembl.